GUGAGGAAUAUUGGUCAAUGGGCGCAGGCCUGAACCAGCCAAGUAGCGUGAAGGAUGACUGCCCUAUGGGUUGUAAACUUCUUUUAUAUGGGAAUAAAGUUUUCCACGUGUGGAAUUUUGUAUGUACCAUAUGAAUAAGGAUCGGCUAACUCCGUGCCAGCAGCCGCGGUAAUACGGAGGAUCCGAGCGUUAUCCGGAUUUAUUGGGUUUAAAGGGAGCGUAGGUGGACAGUUAAGUCAGUUGUGAAAGUUUGCGGCUCAACCGUAAAAUUGCAGUUGAUACUGGCUGUCUUGAGUACAGUAGAGGUGGGCGGAAUUCGUGGUGUAGCGGUGAAAUGCUUAGAUAUCACGAAGAACUCCGAUUGCGAAGGCAGCUCACUGGACUGCAACUGACACUGAUGCUCGAAAGUGUGGGUAUCAAACAGGAUUAGAAACCCCGGUAGUCC
RNAcentral lists this ribosomal RNA (445 nucleotides) under uncultured bacterium. RNAcentral's name for it is "partial 16S ribosomal RNA". It matches the Rfam family "Bacterial small subunit ribosomal RNA", at positions 354 to 796 of the family's 1533-position model. The record is from RNAcentral.